CUACGGGCGGCACCAGUGAGGAAUAUUGCGCAAUGGGGGGAACCCUGAUGCAGCAACGCCGCGUGGAGGAUGACGCAUUUCGGUGUGUAAACUCCUUUUAUAUGUCAAGAAAAUGACGGUAGCAUAUGAAUAAGCACCGGCUAACUCCGUGCCAGCAGCCGCGGUAAUACGGAGGGUGCAAGCGUUACUCGGAAUCACUGGGCGUAAAGGACGCGUAGGCGGGUUGGAAAGUCAGGUGUGAAAUCCUACAGCUUAACUGUAGAACUGCACUUGAAACUUCUAAUCUAGAGUAUGGGAGGGGGAGAUGGAAUUAGUGGUGUAGGGGUAAAAUCCGUAGAUAUCACUAGGAAUACCUAAAGCGAAGGCGAUCUCCUGGAACAUUACUGACGCUAAGGCGUGAAAGCGUGGGGAGCAAACAGGAUUAGAUACCCUAGUUAGUC
RNAcentral lists this ribosomal RNA (440 nucleotides) under uncultured bacterium. RNAcentral's name for it is "partial 16S ribosomal RNA". It matches the Rfam family "Bacterial small subunit ribosomal RNA", at positions 339 to 795 of the family's 1533-position model. The record is from RNAcentral.